CUAGGUCCUCCCCUUUCUGUUUUUGCAGUGGCCCUUGACUUCCCUGCGUGAGCCUCACUGCGUUCAGCCAGCGCCCAGCCUGGACUCUGCUCCACCAGCAGCUUCUGGAGGAUCUCCUGCUUGUCAUCCAGCCCCAGUGCCCAGUGCUGGUGUGGCCUCUAAGUGCAGGAAGGGACCAGGAAGGGACAGAAGGAAGAGGAAGCAGUGCAACCUGACCCCUGGCUUCACAUCCACCCUGGUGUUGAACACCAGAGGGCCAUGGAAGGAGUUGAAAAGUUGGGGUCCAUGCCUGACUGAAACAAGGGUUGAUCUAACAACAGUGACAACGAUAAAAGCAAGACUGGGUAUUGAAAGUCAAGACUGGGCAAGUGGAGCCCUCUCUUCAUGUUAUAGACAAGGAGAACCCUGAGCAUGCAAGACAGAAGACUUCCUUUUGGUUUGUCUUCAGCGUUUCUGCCGAUGUGUUCGUGGUCCUGUGUCCCAUGUCUGCAGUCUGAAGGGAAAACCCCAUGCACCAUCAGCCUAAGAAAAGGCACAGGCUCAACUCUGAAGGCUCUCUCUUUCCACUCUUGAAUAAUAGCUAGAUAAAGCCAAUCUCAAACCUUAGUAGUCCACUAAGAAGGUUACAAAAUAUAUAUUUACGAAUUCAUCUCAGACUGUAUUCCAGCCUGCCAUUAGGAUUUUGAAAGCAUGUGCAUGUUGUAUUGUGGCUGCUAAAGUUCAUGUCUGCUACUAUUAUUCAAUCUGCUAAAAAUUGUCAUUUAAUUUAAUAAUAUGAUGAAA
Marmota monax (woodchuck) is the source of this 783-nucleotide long non-coding RNA. RefSeq lists it as uncharacterized. NCBI's taxonomy places the organism in Eukaryota, Metazoa, Chordata, Mammalia, Rodentia, Sciuridae. The transcript is spliced from 3 exons. The record is from RefSeq and is a predicted model, not a curated record.